CAAAUCCCAUAAAGUUGUUCUCAGUUCGGAUUGUAGUCUGCAACUCGACUACAUGAAGCUGGAAUCGCUAGUAAUCGUAGAUCAGCAUGCUACGGUGAAUACGUUCCCGGGUCUUGUACACACCGCCCCCCCACUUCCACGAGAGUCUGUAACACCCGAAGCCGGUGGAGUAACCAUUUAUGG
RNAcentral lists this ribosomal RNA (183 nucleotides) under uncultured Staphylococcus sp. Its description in RNAcentral is "partial 16S ribosomal RNA". It matches the Rfam family "Bacterial small subunit ribosomal RNA", at positions 1268 to 1446 of the family's 1533-position model. The record is from RNAcentral. Lineage: Bacteria; Bacillati; Bacillota; Bacilli; Caryophanales; Staphylococcaceae.